This is a non-coding RNA of Triticum aestivum (bread wheat), 126 nucleotides long. The record is from Rfam. NCBI's taxonomy places the organism in Eukaryota, Viridiplantae, Streptophyta, Magnoliopsida, Poales, Poaceae.
UAAAUGCCCCCUCCAUCUGGAAAUACAUGUCGGAGAAAUGGAUAAAAAUGAAUGUAUCUAUAGAACUAAAAUACGUCUAGAUACAUUCAUUUCUCCGGCAAGUAUUUCUGGACGGAGGAGUACCUA